AUGCGGCCAAACCAGAUGGCUAGAAAAACUAGUUUAGGUCCCAACUAACUUGGCUAAUUAAAACGAGAUACACUUUUACUCUCAGUCGGGCGGUCUAGAGCUAGAGCGGAUUCUCGGAAACAUGAAAUCUGAAAUUCAAUUGGCGAAUUAAUCAGAAAAUUAAAUACGAUUAAAUGGCAACGAGGAGUGUCUAUGUCUGUGUCUCUGACAGGUUUGGUUUGCAAUUAGCAAAAAAAAAAAGAUACACAAUAAAAAAAUAUGGAAAAGACCCUCCUCGCUGAUUUGGCAACUUCCAUGCAGAUGUCUCUGCUGACGCCGACAGAGACUGCGACUGCGACUGCGACUGCGACUGCGGCUGAUUUAUCAGCCUGGAGCAAAAAACAAAAAACUAAAAAAAAAUAAUUUAAAGAUUUGGCAAUUCAAGGUUUUUAAUGCAACAUGGGAUCGAUUCCAGUCCGGUUUAUCAAUGCGGUUACGAAAUGGCUUCAAAAAAGUGAACCACUAACCAUUAAGGCCCUCCCAUACACAUCCAUAUGCAUUUAUUUUAAAUAAAAGACAAUAUUUGGGUCACCGAAGAUGCUUCGAUCCCAAAAAAAAACACCUCUUUGGGGUCAAAAAAUCAAUUAACAGUUAUGUAGCUUUGGUGGCAAGUGAGUGUGCGAGUGGCAUUGGCGAGUGGCAUAAAUUAGGGAAAACACAAAUCAUUUAAUUGCUCAUUCUCGGCGAGCUUUCUAUUUCCAUGGCGGGUUCUGGCUGGGAUUUCACUUGCCGACAAACGCGGACUGCAUAUUCCCAGUGUGCUAGUGCCCCACAAGUACACUCGAACAAAAAUAUGGGAAAAUGUAAAAACUUUCCGCUCUAGUCCAAAAUAGAACUCAAAAUGUUUCUUCACCUAUUCCUGUA
Long non-coding RNA from Drosophila ananassae, 903 nucleotides. RefSeq lists it as uncharacterized. The transcript is spliced from 2 exons. NCBI's taxonomy places the organism in Eukaryota, Metazoa, Arthropoda, Insecta, Diptera, Drosophilidae. The record is from RefSeq and is a predicted model, not a curated record.